AUACGUAGGUGGCGAGCGUUAUCCGGAUUUACUGGGCGUAAAGGAUGCGUAGGUGGAAUUUUAAGUGGGAUGUGAAAUACCCGGGCUCAACCUGGGAACUGCAUUCCAAACUGGAAUUCUAGAGUGCAGGAGAGGAAAGCGGAAUUCCUAGUGUAGCGGUGAAAUGCGUAGAGAUUAGGAAGAACACCAGUGGCGAAGGCGGCUUUCUGGACUGUAACUGACACGGAGGCAUGAAAGCGUGGGGAGCAAACAGGAUUAGAUCCCCUGGUAGUCCACGCCGUAAACGAUGGGUACUAGGUGUAGGGGUUUCGAUACCUCUGUGCCGCCGUAAACACAAUAAGUACCCCGCCUGGGGAGUACGGUCGCAAGAUUAAAACUCAAAUGAAUUGACGGG
This 394-nucleotide ribosomal RNA is filed under the name uncultured bacterium. RNAcentral's name for it is "partial 16S ribosomal RNA". It matches the Rfam family "Bacterial small subunit ribosomal RNA", at positions 523 to 917 of the family's 1533-position model. The record is from RNAcentral.